UUAACAAAAACAUGUCUUUUUGUUUAAAUUUUAAAGUCUGAUCUGCCCAAUGAAAAAUUAAAUGGCCGCGAUAUUUUGAUCGUGCGAAGGUAGCAUAAUCAUUAGCUUUUUAAUUGAGAGCUGGAAUGAACGAUUGGACGAGAAGUUAGCUGUCUCGUUUUUAUUUUUUGAAUUUUAUUUUUGAGUUAAAAAGCUUAAAUAUUGGUGUGGGACGAGAAGACCCUAUAGAGUUUAAUACUUUUGUUAAUUAUUAAUAAUUAAGAAUUAAUUAUUUUUAUUUAACUGAGUAUUUAGUUGGGGUGAUGGAAAAAUUUAAUUAACUUUUUCUUUUUAAAAUAUUGAUUGAUAGAUAGUUGACUUAUAUUUUUAGUUAAAAGAUUAAAUUACCUUAGGGAUAACAGCGUUAUUUUUCUUGAGAGUUCUAAUCGAAAGGAAAGGUUGCGACCUCGAUGUUGGAUUAAAGUUAAAUUCUUGGUGUAGAAGCUAAGCUAUUUAGUCUGUUCGACUAUUAAAACUUUACAUGAUCUGAGUU
RNAcentral lists this ribosomal RNA (532 nucleotides) under Agrilus macroderus. Its description in RNAcentral is "partial 16S ribosomal RNA". It matches the Rfam family "Bacterial large subunit ribosomal RNA", at positions 1804 to 2611 of the family's 2925-position model. Lineage: Eukaryota; Metazoa; Arthropoda; Insecta; Coleoptera; Buprestidae. The record is from RNAcentral.